This is a long non-coding RNA of Lingula anatina, 1773 nucleotides long. The record is from RefSeq and is a predicted model, not a curated record. Lineage: Eukaryota; Metazoa; Brachiopoda; Lingulata; Lingulida; Lingulidae.
GCGGGACACACAACAUGUGAAUGUAAAAAUUAAAAAAAAAGUAAAAUAAAACGCGCAUAUUGCUCUUUAAUAGGACCCGAAGUGGCAUAUUAAAUUUAUGAACAUUAUCCCGUUAGGUAUCUCACAGCAGUUUACAGAUCUAUGGGACUAUGUGUUUUGUUUACAUCAUGACUCACUGGUAAACAUGAAUGGCCUUGGUCCAACAAACAUUACGUCAGCUUUAAAAUAACCCCCAAAAAUCCCAGUGUUUACUUUGACUAGUCACGUAAAAUCCCUUCUAUGUUAACAAGAGGGAAUUUUUGAGAGUUAUUUUAGCCAUGUUUUCGCCAGUCAUUGAAGUUAUGAGCAAUUUACUUGAAAAAUUCCUGAUCACUUAAAAUACCCAUCAUUGUAUGUUGGGAAUUUCCCAGUCAUGUGAUUUGAUUAACAUAAAAGGCGCUGUAGAGAAAAAUUCUGAACUAAUUCGUGACUGGAGUACAAACUGUUGCACCGUACGCGUUAGCAAACAAUUGUUUCAUCUAGCAUUAGGAGCCAUGGCUUUCAGGCGCAAUCGAAGCGAGAGGGACGGAGAUCGGAGCAGACGACAGGACAAAGAUGAAGAAUUGCGGGCAGCUAUGCGGGGAGAUUGGAAACACGUGGAAGACCCACACCUUCGGCGAGUAUACAAAUCGAAGGGGCCAAACUUCUCAGGUCUUCUUCUCGCUGGAUUAGUCGCCAAUGUUGCCACGCCAAGUCAGUACGAUUCACACGACAGCGACAGCGAAGGGCCAAGCAGCGAAGUUGACAGAAAGCCGCUUAAGAGGCGCCAUAGGCGUAGCCGGGGAUCGGAAAACUCAGAAUUCUCUGAAACGCGCUGGGGUGGAUCUCAGUCAAACCAAUAUUCUACAGUGUAUGGUCCAGAUAAUGACAACUCAGUUAAACUGUCAGGUUCGGAAAAUUCGGAAGAUCCGUUACUGCCUAAAACUAAAAAGAGCCUUUUCAAACGUGUCCGGUUGAGCGGCGUUUUUCGCGGUUUGGGUGGUGCAGCAGCAGUAGCAGUGGUGGGAAUAUUUCUUUUGGUGUUGUUACUGUAGCCGAGCUUGAUUGUUUGGAUAGGCGAGUCAGAAAGAUAGGGAGCGGUCACGAGCCACCCUACCCCUUUAUCAUUUCAAAAUGACGGGUUCAACCUCCCCUCUUCCUCGCCUAGUAGGAGAGAAACCAAACUUUGGGUCAACACAAAUGUAUAUUGUAUAAGUGCUCAUGUGUCUGUGGUUUGAGGGAAAGGGGGACACCCCUCUUCUUUUUACCUUUUUUAAAAUGUGGUUUUGUUAAAAUCCAUUUGUUAUAAUAUAACUAUAGUUUUCAAUAUCAGAAACAUUUGUAUUAUUGGCUCGUUGAAAGUCAUCAGUACUGUAUAUUGAGGUGGCUUUUUGUUAACGUUUAAAAUGAUCGAAGUGUGAAAAAAGCGAAUUAUAAAUAAAUAUUACUAAUUAAAGCUUUUGCAGCUAUAACCGUUUAUUUAAUGAGAGCAUUUGAUGAUUUUUAUCGAAAUGGUGCUUUCUGAUAAACAAUGUCGAUUUGCCGCUUUACUUUUGAUGAUUAUCUUUUUUAAUAUUUUUGAAAAUUUUAGUAAUAAAAAUAUGCAAUGUUUCAUCAUAUCAGCUUUGGGCUAUUUUUUGUAACUGCUAUAAAUUGUAGUUUAGUUUCAAACUUCAGGUAACAAUUAUGUGAAAGUAAACAUAACCCAUCAGUUUUACUCAUGUCAUGUUAAUGAAGUAAUAAAUUUAAUGGGUA